This 8488-nucleotide long non-coding RNA is filed under the name Salmo salar (Atlantic salmon). Its description in RNAcentral is "lncRNA (ENSSSAG00000119607.1)". Lineage: Eukaryota; Metazoa; Chordata; Actinopteri; Salmoniformes; Salmonidae. The record is from RNAcentral.
CACACACACACACACACACAGGGUUGCAGAUUGCAUUGUACUUAUUUUUUGUGCAAUCUUAUUCCAUUCUUAUUAAUUUGUUUACAAUUAUUCUUUAUUUUAUUGGCACCGGUAUUAUAAUAAUAAUUGUAUGUAAUGGUGUAUAUGUGUGUAUGUAUGUACAGUUGAAGUCGGAAGUUUACAUACACCUUAGCAAAAUACAUUUAAACUCAGUUUUUCACAAUUCCUGACCUUUAAUCCUAGUAAAAAUUCCCUGUCUUAGGUCAGUUACGAUCACCACUUUAUUUUAAGAAUGUGAAAUGUCAGAAUAAUAGUAGAGAGAAUGAUUUAUUUCAGCUUUUAUUUCUUUCAACACAUUCCCAGUGGGUCAGAAGUUUACAUACACUCAAUUAGUAUUCGGUAGCAUUGCCUUUAAAUUGUUUAACUUGGGUCAAACGUUUCGGGUAGCCUUCCACAAGCUUCCCACAAUAAGUUGGGUACAUUUUGGCCCAUUCCUCCUGACAGAGCUGGUGUAACUGACUCAGGUUUGUAGGCCUCCUUGCUCGCACAUGCUUUUUCAGUUCUGCCCACACAUUUUCUGUAGGAUUGAGGUCAGGGCUUUGUGAUGGCCACUGCAAUACCUUGACUUUGUUGUCCUUGUUACAUUCCCCAGUUUGUGUAUUUGUGAGUGUGCGUUUCAGGAAAUGGCUUCCUGAAAUUCUCCCCAAGCAGCUGAUUGGUUGGCCCCCAUUGAUGAUUGGAGAGCUGACACGCCACCGCGUCAUGACGCAGCUGUCUUCAAUUACAGACUCCUUCUGAAGCAAUAUAAGCCAGUGUUCUGUUUCUCAGAAGAGGAGGAGACGAUUGCUGAGAGAGAAGGCUGAUGGCUAUAUCAUAUUGGUUGUUGCUAACAGAGUUGGUAUGUACUGUGCUAGAUGAUUGCUGAGAGAGAAGGCUGAUGGUUAUAUCAUAGGUUGCUGAGAGUGAGACAGUACAUACCAAAACUGCCUAUGUUAGUUGUUGCUGGGAGCAGCCUUGGUAUGUUCUGUGUUAGUUUGUUGCUCAGUCAGAGAGCUUAUUUGAUAUCCUGUGUUUCUCUUUUUUUUUGGUGAAAUUGUUUAUAAUAUUCUGUUUCAUUUGUUCCCGAAGGGGAAGGCACCUAGGGAGUGCUUAGGCAAGAGGUCCGUGGGCAUACAUGACCUGUAGUAUUCACUGUCUAUGCACACUAGGUAAGACCUGGGCGGACCAUCCCCUGUAUUUUUGUUAGUGCACCAGGUGGUGCUAGUUAGGUAGGCAGGUAAGGUAGGAGAGGGGGCUUUGAUAUUUACUUUCUUUGCUUUGGUUCCGUCCAGCCCCUCUUCCCCCAAAUUACCGGGUAACGGAAUAAAUUCCUUGUAAACUGUAAUUCUCUGCCCUUUUGUCAUCCUUGUUCAUACCUCUUUCACACCACGGAGAGUUGAGUUGUAGCAGGGUGUUGCGUUCCCUCCUCCUAGAGGCGUGCGUAACAGUCCUUAAGCCAUUUUGCCACAACUUUGGAAGUAUGCUUGGGGUCAUUGUCCAUUUGGAAGAUCCAUUUGCGACCAAGCUUUAACUUUCUGACUGAUGUUUGAAAUUUUGCUACAAUAUAGCCACAAUUUUCCUUCCUCAUCAAGCCAUCUAUUUUGUGAAGUGUACCAGUCCCUCUGCACCAAAGCAACCCCCACAACAUGAUGCUGCCACCCCCUUGCUUCACAGUUGGGAUGAUAUUCUUUGGCUUGCAAGCCUCCCCCUUUGUCCUCCUAACAUGACAAUGGUCAUUGUGGCCAAACAGUUCUAUUUUUGUUUCAUCAAACCAGAGGACAUUUCUCAACAACAACAAAAAAUAUCUUUGUCCCCAUGUGCAGUUGUCAACUGUAGUCUGUCUUUUUAUGGGGGUUUUGGGGCAGUGGGUUCUUCCUUGCUGAGCGGGCUUUCAGGUUUUGUCGAUAUAGUACUCGUUUUACUGUGGAUAUAGAUGCUUAUGUACCUGUUUCCUUCAGCAUCUUCAGAAGGUCCUUUGCUGUUCUGGUAUUGAUUUGCACUUUUCGCACCAAAGUACGUUAAUCUCUAGGAGACAGAACGCGUCUCCUUCCUGAGCGGUGUGAUGGCUGCGUGGUCCCAUGGUGAUUAUACUUGCGUACUAUUGUUUGUAAAGAUGAACGUGGUCCCUUCAGGCGUUUGGAAAUUGCUCCCAAGGAUGAAAUAGACUUGUGGAGGUCUACAAUUUGUUUUCUGAGGUCUUGGAUGAUUUAUUUUGAUAUUCCAUGAUGUAAAACAGAGGCACUGAAUUUGAAGGUAGGCCUUGAAAUAAAUCCACAGGUACACCUCCAAUUUGACUCAAAUGAUGUCAAUUACCCUGGAAUCAUCAUUUGGCAUAAGCAGGAUUUAGCACUGAAUGAAAUGAAAAAAGGUACUAAUCACAUUUGGCUAAAACUUAACAAAAGUACAAUCUAUUGUGACAAUGAUUUAUUCAUAUGUGCAGCUUAUGCUCCUCCAGAUUCAUCAUAUUUUGAUCUGUUUUUUGACAUUCUCCAUACAGAAAUCAUUCCAUUUCAGGCAGAGGGUAAAGUGCUUCUUUGUGGAGAUUUCAAUGCGAGAACAGGUUCUGGGCUGGACUACACUGAUGCGGGAGUUGAAAACGGGAUUCGUCCGUGAAGAUCACACUUCUCCAGCGUGCCAGUGGCCAUCGAAGGUGAGCAUUUGCCCACUGAAGUCAGUUACGACACCAAACUACAGUCAGGUCAAGACCCUGGUGAGGAUGACGAGCACGCAGAUGAACAUCCCUGAGACGGUUUCUGACAAUUUGUACAGAGAUUCUUUGGUUUCAUUAGCUGUCCGGGUGGCUGGUCUCAGACGAUCCCGCAGGUGAAGAAGCCGGAUGUGGAGGUCCUGGGCUGGUGUGGUUACACGUGGUCUGCGGUUGUGAGGCCAGUUGGGCGUACUGCCAAAUUCACUAAAACUACAUUGGAGGCGGCUUAUGUGUUGUGUGACAAAACUGCACAUUUUAGAGGGGCCUGUUAUUGACCCAAGUACAAGGUGCACCUGUGUAAUGAUCAUGCUGUUUAAUCAGCUCCUUGAUAUGCCACACCUGUCAGGUGGAUGGACUAUUUUGGCAAAGGAGAAAUGCUCACUAACAGGGAUGUAAAAAUAUAAAAAUGUAUAUUUUUAAAUGUGUGAAUUUAACAUUUCUGGGAUAAUUUAUUGCAGCUCAUGAAACAUGAGACCAACACUUUACAUGUUGCAUUUGUAUUUUUGUUCAGUAUACGUUUGCAAUUAGCUGACCCAAACAGCCACAACAUUCUCAGUAACUGUUACAGAAACAUUUUUACUUGCUAUGAUAGUGAUAUGUGUUGUUUAUCUACCUUAGUUGAAUGCACUGACUGUAAAUCACUCUGGAUAAGAGUGUCUGCUAAAUUACCAAAAUGUACAUGUAUAUGUGAAAAUGAACAUCCCAAAAGUAACUGCAAAGUACAGUGGGUAUUAUUAUUGGCCUGUUUCGGAAUCAUGACUAGAUGGGAUACAGUUUGGACAUGGUUCGUCAGGACUUCAAACAGCCGAAGCUAAGUAACAUUAACAUGAUGCCUUCUAAUUGCAGUCGUUGUACUUAUAAUAUACAGGAGAACGAUCGCCUUACGGCAAGGAUAGCUGUGCUGCAAGCCCAGCUUCAGACGCGAUCGUUAGGCAAGGGCAAUUUCAGUGUAGGAAAGGAUGAAACAGCGUCUGUGCCACCAGACCUGAGCCCUAGGACCAUGCCUCAGGACUACCUGGUAUGAUGACUCCUUGCUGUCCCCAGUCCACCUGGCCGUGCUGCUGCUCCAGUUUCAACUGUUCUGCCUGCGGCUAUGGAACCCUGACCUGUUCACCGGACGUGCUUGUUGCACCCUCGACAACUACUAUGAUUAUUAUUAUUUGACCAUGCUGGUCAUUUAUUAACAUUUUAACAUUUUGACCAUGUUCUGUUAUAAUAUCCACCCUGCACAGCCAGAAGAGGACUGGCCACCCCUCAUAGCCUGGUUCCUCUCUAGGUUUCUUCCUAGGUUUUUGGCCUUUCUAGGGAGUUUUUCCUAGCCACCGUGCUUCUUUCACAUGCUUUGCUUGCUGUUUGGGGUUUUAGGCUGGGUUUCUGUACAGCACUUUGAGAAUAUCAGCUGAUGUACGAAGGGCUAUAUAAAAAUAAAUUUGAUUGAUUUGAGUUUAACCUCAUUCUCCUUACCUGCUGCGUAAUGUAAGUGUAAUGGCGUCGAAGGAGAUGGCCUCUGUUUUACGAUACCUUAACCAAUUGUGCAUCAAUACAGGACUAAGAUUGAAUCAUACUACACCGGCUCUGACGCUUGUUGGAUGUGGCAGGGCUUGCAAACUAUUACAGACUUCAAAGGGAAGCAAAGGCACGAGCUGCCCAGUGACCCAAACCUACCAGACGAGCUAAAUUACUUCUAUGCACGCUUCGAGGCAAGUAACACUGAAACAUGCAUGAGAGCACCAGCUGUUCUGGAUGACGCUGUGAUCACGCUCUCUGUAGCCGAUGUGAGUAAGACCUUUAAGCAGGUCAAUAUUCACAAGGCCGCAGGGCCAGACGGAUUACCAGGACGUGUACUCCGAGCAUGUGCUGACCAACUGGCAAGUGUCUUCACUGACAUUGUCAACCUGUCCCUGACUGAGUCUGUAAUACCAACAUGUUUCAAGCAGACCACCAUAGUCCCUGUGCCCAAGAACACUACGGUAACCUGCCUAAAUGACUACCGACCCGUAGCACUCACAUUUGUAGCCAUGAAGUGCUUUGAAAAGCUGGUCAUGGCUCACAUCAAUACCAUUAUUCCAGAAACACUAGACCCACUCCAAUUUGCAUACCGCCCCGACAUAUCCACAGACGAUGCAAUCUCUAUUGCACUCAACACUGCCCUUUCCCUCCUGGACAAAAAGGAACACCUAUGUGAGAAUGCUAUUCAUUGACUACAACUCAGCGUUCAACACCAUAGCGCCCUCAAAGCUCAUCACUAAGCUAAGGACCCUGGGACUAAACACCUCCCUCUGCAACUGGAUGCUGGACUUCCUGACGGGCCGCCCCCAGGUGGUAAGGGUAGGUAACAACACAUCAGCCACACUGAUCCUCAGCACGGGGGCCCCUCCGGGGUGCGUGCUCAGUCCCCUCCUGUACUCCCUGUUCACCUACAACUGCAUGGCCAGGCACGACUCCAACACCAUCAAGUUUGCCAAUGACACAGUAGGCCUGAUCACCAACAAUGAUGAGACAGCCUAUAGGGAGGAGGUCAGAGACCUGGCCAUGUGGUGCCAGGACAACAACCUCUCCCUCAACAUGAUCAAGACAAAGGAGAUGAUUGUGGACUACAGGAAAAUGGGGCUGCAGUGGAGUAGGUUGAGAACUUCAAGUUCCUUGGUGUCCACAUCACCAACAAACUGUCAUGGUCCAAACACACUAAGACAGUCGUGAAGAGGGCACGACAAAGCCUAUUCCCCCUCACGAGACUGACAAGAUUUGGCAUAGGUCCUCAGAUCCUCAAAAGUUUCUACAGCUGCACCAUCAAGAGCAUCCUGACUAGUUGCAUCACUGCCUGGUAUGGCAAAAUCUCAAGGCACUACAGAGGGUAGUGCGUACAGCCCAGUACAUCACUGGGGCCAAGCUUCCCGCCAUCCAGGACCUCUAUACCAGGCGGUGUCAGAGGAAGGUCCUAAAAAUUGUCAAAGACUCCCGCCACGCUAGUUAUAGACUGUUCUCUCUGUUACCGCACGGCAAGCGUUACCGGAGUCCAAAAAGGCUUCUUAACAGCUUCUACCCCCCCAAGCCAUAAGACUCCUGAAAAGCUUCUACCCCCCCAAGCCAUAACAUUUACAUUUACGUCAUUUAGCAGACGCUCUUAUCCAGAGCGACUUACAAAUUGGUGCAUUCACCUUAUGAUAUCCAGUGGAACAACCACUUUACAAUAGUACAUCUAUAUAUUUUUUGGGGGGGAGGGUAGGGGGGAGGGUUAGAAGGAUUACUUUAUCCUGUCCCAGGUAUUCCUUAAAGAGGUGGGGUUUCAGGUGUCUCCGGAAGGUGGUGAUUGACUCCGCUGUCCUGGCAUCGUGAGGGAGCUUGUUCCACCAUUGGGGUGCCAGAGCAGCGAACAGUUUUGACUGGGCUGAGCGGGAACUGUGCUAUCGCAGAGGUAGGGAGGCGAGCAGGCCAGAGGUGGAUGAAUGCAGUGCCCUUCUUUGGGUGUAGGGACUGAUCAGAGCCUGAAGGUACAGAGGUGCCGUUCCCCUCACAGCUCCAUAGGCAGGCAUCAUGGUCUUGUAGCAGAUGCGAGCUUCAACUGGAAGCCAGUGGAGUGUGCGGAGGAGCGGGGUGACGUGAGAGAACUUGGGAAGGUUGAACACCAGACGGGCUGCAGCGUUCUGGAUGAGUUGUAGGGGUUUGAUGGCACAGGCAGGGAGCCCCGCCAGCAGCGAGUUGCAGUAAUCCAGACGGGAGAUGACAAGUGCCUGGAUUAGGACCUGCGCCUCUUCCUGUGUAAGGCAGGGUCGUACUCUGCAAAUGUUGUAGAGCAUGAACCUACAGGAUCGGGUCACCGCCUUGAUGUUAGCGGAGAACGACAGGGUGUUGUCCAGGGUCACGCCAAGUCUCUUAGCACUCUGUGAGGAGGACACAAUGGAGUUGUCAACCGUGAUGGCGAGAUCAUGGAACGGGCAGUCCUUCCCCGGGAGGAAGAGCAGCUCCGUCUUGCCGAGGUUCAGGAGGGAGGAGAAGGUGGCAAAGAGCUUCCUAGGGUUAGAGGCAGAUGCUUGGAAUUUAGAGUGGUAGAAAGUGUCUUUUGCAGCAGAAACAGAGGAAGAAAAUGUGGAGAGGAGGGAGUGAAAAGAUGCCAGGUCCGCAGGGAGGCUAGUUUUCCUCCAUUUCCGCUCGGCUGCCCGGAGCCUUGUUCUGUGAGCUCGCAAUGAGUCGUCAAGCCACGGAGCAGGAGGGGAGGACCGAGCCGGCCGGGAGGAUAGGGGACAUAGAGAGUCAAAGGAUGCAGAAAGGGAGGAGAGGAGGGUUGAGGAGGCAGAAUCAGGAGAUUGGUUGGAGAAGGAUUGAGCAGAGGGAAGAGAUGAUAGGAUGGAAGAGGAGAGAGUAGCAGGAAAGAGAGAGCGAAGGUUGCGACGGCGCAAUACCAUCUGAGUAGGGGCAGAGUGAGUAGUGUUGGAGGAGAGCGAGAGGGAAAAGGAUACAAGGUAGUGGUCGAAGACUUGGAGGGGAGUUGCAGUGAGAUUAGUAGAAGAACAGCAUCUAGUAAAGAUGAGGUCAAGCGUAUUGCCUGCCUUGUGAGUAGGGGGGGACGGUGAGAGGGUGAGAGGGUGAGGUCAAAAGAGGAGAGGAGUGGAAAGAAGGAGGCAGAGAGAAAUGAGUCAAAGGUAGACGUAGGGAGGUUAAAGUCACCCAGAAUUGUGAGGGGUGAGCCAUCCUCAGGAAAGGAACUUAUCAAGGCGUCAAGCUCAUUGAUGAACUCUCCAAGGGAACCUGGAGGGCGAUAAAUGAUAAGGAUGUUAAGCUUGAAUGGGCUAGUGACUGUGACAGCAUGGAAUUCAAAGGAGGAGAUAGACAGAUGGGUCAGGGGAGAAAGAGAGAAUGUCCACUUGGGAGAGAUGAGGAUUCCAGUGUCACCACCCCUCUGACCAGAUGCUCUCGGGGUAUGCGAGAACACAUGGUCAGACGAGGAGAGAGCAGUAGGAGUAGCAGUGUUUUCUGUGGUAAUCCAUGUUUCCGUCAGCGCCAAGAAGUCGAGGGACUGGAGGGUAGCAUAGGCUGAGAUGAACUCUGCCUUGUUGGCUGCAGACCGGCAGUUCCAGAGGCUGCCGGAGACCUGGAACUCCGGGUGGGUCGUGCGCGCUGGGACCACCAGGUUAGUGUGGCAGCGGCCAUGCGGUGUGAAGCGUUUGUGUGGCCUGUGCAGAGAGGAGAGAACAGGGAUAGACAGACACAUAGUUGACAGGCUACAGGAGAGGCUACGCUAAUGCAAAGGAGAUUGGAAUGAAAAUUAACUAAACAACUGGGGAAGCGAGAGAGCAGGGCCUCCCUCACUAACCAUUCACUGAAACACUCAAAUAUAACUUUUCCAACUUCCACUUAGAAAUUAUAAUUCCUAAACAGCUUCUACCCCCAGGCCAUACGACUCCUGAACAGCUAAUCAAGGGGUUACCCAGACCCCUCUUUUACACUGCUGCUACUCUGUUUAUUAUCUAUGCUUGGUCACGUUAAGUCUACCUACAUGUACAUAUUACUUCAAUUACCUCGACUAACCAGUGCCCCCACACAUUGACUCUGUACUGGUACCCCCGUAUAUAGCCUCGCUAUUUCUAUUGUUAUUUUACUGCUGCUGUUGAAUUACUUUAUUUAAAAUUUUUAGAUUUUUUUUCAAAUGUUUACUUAUCUGUUUUUUACUUACACAUUUUUCUUAACUUAAAGCAUUGUUAGUUAACGGCUUGUAAGUAAGAAUUUCACUAAGAUCUACACCUG